This 330-nucleotide ribosomal RNA is filed under the name uncultured bacterium. RNAcentral describes it as "bacterial SSU rRNA". It matches the Rfam family "Bacterial small subunit ribosomal RNA", at positions 568 to 898 of the family's 1533-position model. The record is from RNAcentral.
UUCGUAGGUGGUGCGGCAAGUUGGGAGUGAAAUCUCUGGGCUUAACUCAGAGGCUGCUUUCAAAACUGCCGCGCUCGAGUGCGAGAGAGGUCAGUGGAAUUGCAGGUGUAGCGGUGAAAUGCGUAGAUAUCUGCAGGAACACCCGUGGCGAAGGCGGCUGACUGGAUCGCAACUGACACUGAGGAACGAAAGCUAGGGGAGCAAACAGGAUUAGAUACCCUGGUAGUCCUAGCCCUAAACCAUCAGAACUUGGGGUGGCCCGCGUAGGCGGGUCGUCCCGUAGCUAACGCGUUAAGUUCUGCGCCUGGGGAGUACGGUCGCAAGACUGAA